Molecule: non-coding RNA, 45 nt
Filed under: Trichobilharzia regenti
Lineage: Eukaryota; Metazoa; Platyhelminthes; Trematoda; Strigeidida; Schistosomatidae
Source: RNAcentral
AUCCAGAUGACGAGUCCCAAAUAGAACGAAGUGCGCAUCCUGGAU